UAUGCUUUUUUUAAAUGUAGUACUUCUGCAGCCAAUCAUUAUUCCAUGCUGUGUCUUUGCAUUCAUCGCACAAAAUGCUGAUGGAUGGUGUUGCAUGCUUUUUUUCAGUUUCCUGUGAGUUCGUCCCUAAUAUAUAGCACAUUGGUAUUCCACUUAGUCACUUACAAGGUUUCUUCUGAAAUAAUUGAAGUGUGGAAGAAGGGGAUGAUGUAGCAAGAACCAAGAAAGAGAUCUACUCUUCUGUGUCAUUUCAAUGGUCUCCCUGCUUGGAAGGAGGGUUUGGAUCAACCGGGUGGUUGCUUAUCAUCUCUGAACACCAGGUUCAUUCAACCUGAAGCUGGU
Long non-coding RNA from Phragmites australis (common reed), 342 nucleotides. RefSeq lists it as uncharacterized. The record is from RefSeq and is a predicted model, not a curated record. Lineage: Eukaryota; Viridiplantae; Streptophyta; Magnoliopsida; Poales; Poaceae. The transcript has 3 exons.